UACAGAGGAUGCAAGCGUUACCCGGAAUGAUUGGGCGUAAAGCGUCUGUAGGUGGCUUUUUAAGUCCGCCGUCAAAUCCCAGGGCUCAACUCUGGACAGGCGGUGGAAACUACCAAGCUGGAGUACGGUAGGGGCAGAGGGAAUUUCCGGUGGAGCGGUGAAAUGCGUAGAGAUCGGGAAGAACACCAGCGGCGAAAGCACUCUGCUGGGCCGACACUGACACUGAGAGACGAAAGCUAGGGGAGCGAAUGGG
RNAcentral lists this ribosomal RNA (253 nucleotides) under uncultured bacterium. RNAcentral's name for it is "partial 16S ribosomal RNA". It matches the Rfam family "Bacterial small subunit ribosomal RNA", at positions 524 to 776 of the family's 1533-position model. The record is from RNAcentral.